UUUUAUGAGAGUUUGAUCCUGGCUCAGGACGAACGCUGGCGGCGUGCCUAAUACAUGCAAGUCGAACGCUUCUUUUUCCACCGGAGCUUGCUCCACCGGAAAAAGAGGAGUGGCGAACGGGUGAGUAACACGUGGGUAACCUGCCCAUCAGAAGGAGAUAACACUUGGAAACAGGUGCUAAUACCGUAUAACAAUCGAAACCGCAUGGUUUUGAUUUGAAAGGCGCUUUCGGGUGUCGCUGGUGGAUGGACCCGCGGUGCAUUAGCUAGUUGGUGAGGUAACGGCUCACCAAGGCGACGAUGCAUAGCCGACCUGAGAGGGUGAUCGGCCACAUUGGGACUGAGACACGGCCCAAACUCCUACGGGAGGCAGCAGUAGGGAAUCUUCGGCAAUGGACGAAAGUCUGACCGAGCAACGCCGCGUGAGUGAAGAAGGUUUUCGGAUCGUAAAACUCUGUUGUUAGAGAAGAACAAGGAUGAGAGUAACUGUUCAUCCCUUGACGGUAUCUAACCAGAAAGCCACGGCUAACUACGUGCCAGCAGCCGCGGUAAUACGUAGGUGGCAAGCGUUGUCCGGAUUUAUUGGGCGUAAAGCGAGCGCAGGCGGUUUCUUAAGUCUGAUGUGAAAGCCCUCGGCUCAACCGGGGAGGGUCAUUGGAAACUGGGAGACUUGAGUGCAGAAGAGGAGAGUGGAAUUCCAUGUGUAGCGGUGAAAUGCGUAGAUAUAUGGAGGAACACCAGUGGCGAAGGCGGCUCUCUGGUCUGUAACUGACGCUGAGGCUCGAAAGCGUGGGGAGCAAACAGGAUUAGAUACCCUGGUAGUCCACGCCGUAAACGAUGAGUGCUAAGUGUUGGAGGGUUUCCGCCCUUCAGUGCUGCAGCUAACGCAUUAAGCACUCCGCCUGGGGAGUACGACCGCAAGGUUGAAACUCAAAGGAAUUGACGGGGGCCCGCACAAGCGGUGGAGCAUGUGGUUUAAUUCGAAGCAACGCGAAGAACCUUACCAGGUCUUGACAUCCUUUGACCACUCUAGAGAUAGAGCUUCCCCUUCGGGGGCAAAGUGACAGGUGGUGCAUGGUUGUCGUCAGCUCGUGUCGUGAGAUGUUGGGUUAAGUCCCGCAACGAGCGCAACCCUUAUUGUUAGUUGCCAUCAUUUAGUUGGGCACUCUAGCAAGACUGCCGGUGACAAACCGGAGGAAGGUGGGGAUGACGUCAAAUCAUCAUGCCCCUUAUGACCUGGGCUACACACGUGCUACAAUGGGAAGUACAACGAGUCGCAAAGUCGCGAGGCUAAGCUAAUCUCUUAAAGCUUCUCUCAGUUCGGAUUGUAGGCUGCAACUCGCCUACAUGAAGCCGGAAUCGCUAGUAAUCGCGGAUCAG
RNAcentral lists this ribosomal RNA (1379 nucleotides) under Enterococcus hirae. Its description in RNAcentral is "partial 16S ribosomal RNA". It matches the Rfam family "Bacterial small subunit ribosomal RNA", at positions 1 to 1352 of the family's 1533-position model. Lineage: Bacteria; Bacillati; Bacillota; Bacilli; Lactobacillales; Enterococcaceae. The record is from RNAcentral.